This is a long non-coding RNA of Oncorhynchus keta (chum salmon), 354 nucleotides long. RefSeq lists it as uncharacterized. The record is from RefSeq and is a predicted model, not a curated record. The transcript is spliced from 3 exons. Lineage: Eukaryota; Metazoa; Chordata; Actinopteri; Salmoniformes; Salmonidae.
GGCACAGACAGUAGCAUCCAGGUCAGGGGGUAGGUAGGGUCAGGGGUUAGGCAGGGUCAGGGGUUAGGUAGGGUCAGGGGUUAGGUAGGGUCAGGGGGUAGGUAGGGUCAGGGGGUAGGGGGUAGGUAGGGUCAGGGGUUAGGCAGGGUCAGGGGGUAGGCAGGGUCAGGGGGUAGGUAGGGUCAGGGGUUAGGCAGGGUCAGGGGUUAGGUAGGGUCAGGGGUUAGGCAGGGUCAGGGGUUAGGCAGGGUCAGGGGUUAGGCAGGGUCAGGGGUUAGGCAGGGUCAGGGGGUAGGCAGGGUCAGGGGUUAGGCAGGGUCAGGGGUUAGGCAGGGUCAGGGGAUAGGCAGGGUC